RNAcentral lists this ribosomal RNA (507 nucleotides) under Selaginella moellendorffii. RNAcentral describes it as "rRNA SSU_rRNA_eukarya". It matches the Rfam family "Eukaryotic small subunit ribosomal RNA", at positions 606 to 1116 of the family's 1831-position model. The record is from RNAcentral. Lineage: Eukaryota; Viridiplantae; Streptophyta; Lycopodiopsida; Selaginellales; Selaginellaceae.
AAAGUUGUUGCAGUUAAAAAGCUCGUAGUUGGAUCUCGGGACGGGGCGAAUGGUCCGCCCUUGCGGGUGUGCACUGGUCGCCCCGUCCUUUGAGUCGGUGACGCUACUCUGGUCUUUACUGGCUGGGGUGCGGAGUCGGCGAUGUUACUUUGAAAAAAUUAGAGUGCUCAAAGCAGGCUCGUGCUCUGAAUACAUUAGCAUGGAAUAACGCUAUAGGACUCUGGUCCUGUUGUGUUGGUCUCCGAGAUCAGAGUAAUGAUUAAUAGGGACAGUUGGGGGCAUUCGUACUCCAUUGUCAGAGGUGAAAUUCUUGGAUUUAUGGAAGACGAACUACUGCGAAAGCAUUUGCCAAGGAUGUUUUCAUUAAUCAAGAACGAAAGUUGGGGGCUCGAAGACGAUCAGAUACCGUCCUAGUCUCAACCAUAAACGAUGCCGACUAGGGAUUGGCGGAUGUUAUUUGGAUGACACCGCCAGCACCUCAUGAGAAAUCAAAGUCUUUGGGUUCCG